This 70-nucleotide non-coding RNA is filed under the name Palpitomonas bilix. The record is from RNAcentral.
AUGGAGACGUGCAUGCAAGUGUGAUGUUGUCUCUUUCUCUUUUCUCUUUUCUCUUUUCUUUUUUUUUUUG